GACGAACGCUGGCGGCGUGCCUAAUACAUGCAAGUCGAACGGAAGCUUUCUUCACGGAAUGCUUGCAUUUCACGAAAGAAGCUUUAGUGGCGAACGGGUGAGUAACACGUAGGCAACCUGCCCAAAAGAGGGGGAUAACACUUGGAAACAGGUGGUAAUACCGCAUAACCAUGGACAUCGCAUGAUGUUCAUGUAAAAGACGGCUUUUGCUGUCACUUUUGGAUGGGCCUGCGGCGUAUUAACUUGUUGGUGGGGUAACGGCCUACCAAGGUGAUGAUACGUAGCCGAACUGAGAGGUUGUUUCGGCCACAUUGGGAUUGAGACACGGCCCAAACUCCUACGGGAGGCAGCAGUAGGGAAUCUUCCACAAUGGACGAAAGUCUGAUGGAGCAACGCCGCGUGAAUGAAGAAGGCCUUCGGGUCGUAAAAUUCUGUUGUCAGAGAAGAACAUGCGUGAGAGUAACUGUUCACGUAUUGACGGUAUCUGACC
This 490-nucleotide ribosomal RNA is filed under the name uncultured bacterium. Its description in RNAcentral is "SSU rRNA". It matches the Rfam family "Bacterial small subunit ribosomal RNA", at positions 28 to 484 of the family's 1533-position model. The record is from RNAcentral.